This 641-nucleotide ribosomal RNA is filed under the name Trichoderma aureoviride. RNAcentral's name for it is "eukaryotic LSU rRNA". The stretch from base 265 to 418 matches the Rfam family "5.8S ribosomal RNA". Lineage: Eukaryota; Fungi; Ascomycota; Sordariomycetes; Hypocreales; Hypocreaceae. The record is from RNAcentral.
UCUCCGUUGGUGAACCAGCGGAGGGAUCAUUACCGAGUUUACAACUCCCAAACCCAAUGUGAACGCUACCAAACCGUUGCCUCGGCGGGGUCUCUGCCCCGGGCGCCUCGCGGCCCCGGACCCAGGGCGCCCCGCCGGAGGAAGAAACAACCAAAACUCCUUUUUCCCAUGCCCCUCGCAUCGCCCCCUCGCGGGCCGCGUCGGGCUCUCUCUCUGAGCAAAACUUCUCGGCGCCCCUCACCGGGCGCCUCGAAAAUGAAUCAAAACUUUCAACAACGGAUCUCUUGGUUCUGGCAUCGAUGAAGAACGCAGCGAAAUGCGAUAAGUAAUGUGAAUUGCAGAAUUCAGUGAAUCAUCGAAUCUUUGAACGCACAUUGCGCCCGCCAGUAUUCUGGCGGGCAUGCCUGUCCGAGCGUCAUUUCAACCCUCGAGCCCCUCCGGGGGGUCGGCGUUGGGGAUCGGCCUCCUCCCUCCGCGGGCGGGGGGCCGGCCCCGAAAUUCAGUGGCGGUCUCGCCGCAGCCUCUCCUGCGCAGUAGUUUGCACACUCGCACCGGGAGCGCGGCGCGUCCAAUGCCGUAAAACAACCCAAACCUUCUGGAAUGUUGACCUCGGAUCAGGUAGGAAUACCCGCUGAACUUAA